UCCUUCUUAGGGUCGCACCUGGAGAGGUUCUAGUCCUCUACCAGUCUCGACGACGGGAGGGAGAGUCAAGCAGAAGCAUAUCCACUCCAUUCCUUGCUUGGACAGUGGCUAGCAAGUGGAAGGCAAUCUUCUACAAGU
This is a small nucleolar RNA of Tachyglossus aculeatus (Australian echidna), 138 nucleotides long. The record is from RefSeq and is a predicted model, not a curated record. Lineage: Eukaryota; Metazoa; Chordata; Mammalia; Monotremata; Tachyglossidae.